GUUUCUGUAGUGUAGAGGUUAUCACAUUUGCCUUACAUACAAAAGGUCCCCAGUUCGAAACUGGGCAGAAACA
Molecule: non-coding RNA, 73 nt
Organism: Boleophthalmus pectinirostris (great blue-spotted mudskipper)
Lineage: Eukaryota; Metazoa; Chordata; Actinopteri; Gobiiformes; Gobiidae
Source: the annotation of a RefSeq genome assembly